GUGUGUGUUUAUGUGUUCUGCCUACAAAGACAGCCGUGGGUAGAGGAGGAAAUGCUGCCUACCAGUUGUGACAAAUGCAGUGACAUAGACCAUUGCUAUGUCUUUCCAAGAACAAAAGCCCAUUUCCCAGGGGAAGAUCUACAAUAAAUGAAGGGUAUUUUAUCUCAGCAACAGAAAUGGAACUAGGGUAUUCUGAUGGCUAAUCUUAGCUGUCAACCGGGCACACCCAGGGAAGAAGAAAUCUCAAUUGAGGAACUGCUUCUUGUAGGAAUUGUUAUGUUCUUUUGAAAGUAUCCUGUUUCACUGAGCCAAACUCUGGAAUCCAGUUGUAAAGGAGGAGCGAUGAACAAAGGGAUCAAGACCAUGCUGGGGAAACCCACAGAAACAGCUGACCUGAUCAUGUGGGUGUGCAUGGACCCCAGUCUAACUGCUGGGGAACCAGCAGGACCAAAGCCCCUGAACAUGGGUGUCAGUUGGGAGGACAGGGCAGUCUAUGGGGCCUUUGGCAGUGGAACCAAUAUUUAGUUCUAGUGCAUGAACU
This is a long non-coding RNA of Mesocricetus auratus (golden hamster), 541 nucleotides long. RefSeq lists it as uncharacterized. The transcript is spliced from 3 exons. The record is from RefSeq and is a predicted model, not a curated record. NCBI's taxonomy places the organism in Eukaryota, Metazoa, Chordata, Mammalia, Rodentia, Cricetidae.